RNAcentral lists this ribosomal RNA (254 nucleotides) under uncultured bacterium. RNAcentral's name for it is "partial 16S ribosomal RNA". It matches the Rfam family "Bacterial small subunit ribosomal RNA", at positions 526 to 779 of the family's 1533-position model. The record is from RNAcentral.
CGUAGGGUGCGAGCGUUGUCCGGAAUUAUUGGGCGUAAAGAGCUUGUAGGCGGUUUGUUGCGUCAGAAGUGAAAACUCAGGGCUUAACCCUGAGCCUGCUUCUGAUACGGGCAGACUAGAGGAAGUUAGGGGAGAACGGAAUUCCUGGUGGAGCGGUGGAAUGCGCAGAUAUCAGGAGGAACACCGGUGGCGAAGGCGGUUCUCUGGGACUUUCCUGACGCUGAGAAGCGAAAGCGUGGGGAGCAAACAGGCUU